GUGCCAGCAGCCGCGGUAACACGUAGGGGCCAAGCGUUGUCCGGAUUUAUUGGGCGUAAAGAGCUCGUAGGCGGUUCAGCAAGUCGGGUGUGAAAACUCUGGGCUCAACCCAGAGACGCCACCCGAUACUGCUGUGACUAGAGUCCGGUAGGGGAGUGGGGAAUUCCUGGUGUAGCGGUGAAAUGCACAGAUAUCAGGAGGAACACCGGUGGCGAAGGCGCCACUCUGGGCCGGCACUGACGCUGAGGAGCGAAAGCGUGGGUAGCAAACAGGAUUAGAUACCCUGGUAGUCC
RNAcentral lists this ribosomal RNA (293 nucleotides) under uncultured bacterium. RNAcentral's name for it is "partial 16S ribosomal RNA". It matches the Rfam family "Bacterial small subunit ribosomal RNA", at positions 505 to 796 of the family's 1533-position model. The record is from RNAcentral.